Colossoma macropomum (tambaqui) is the source of this 628-nucleotide long non-coding RNA. RefSeq lists it as uncharacterized. The record is from RefSeq and is a predicted model, not a curated record. The transcript has 2 exons. NCBI's taxonomy places the organism in Eukaryota, Metazoa, Chordata, Actinopteri, Characiformes, Serrasalmidae.
CAACAGUGCUGAAACAACACUUCUUGGACAGAGCUUAAAACACUUAUACCUCUGGGUUAUGUAGACACGACCUUUGGAUGUCAUCAGCUGAACUUCAUCUGAGGAGUUUUGAAGACACGUCUGUCUUGCUCACAGACACAAAAAGUCUGUUUUGAGAAGUGGUGCAGACUCAUUUGCAGUUUUCAGACACUGGUCAGCACCAUAAGAGUUUGGACAAACCUCUUUUGAGUCACAAUUAUGGGGUGCAGCUCGAGCAAAGGAGUUCAGGUUGUGGACGCUACCAAGCAGCCUAAAGACAGGCCCGAUUCAGCAAGCUCAAAGUCAUCAGAUGAGGGAGAGGUGAAAUCAGCCUCAGAAGGAGAACAAGAUAAAGGAGGGGAGAAUGACUGACAUGUCCAUCUAUCCACCUGCACACACUAUUAAAUCCAAAGUCUCCCCCCAUGUUCUCCACACCUGUAGAAGAUUCUGGAUCCACACUACUCCUAUGUGUCCAUGCUAUGGACUUUAAUAUCCAUCUGAAAAAAUCCAACUAUUGCUAUUUACUUAUCAAGCUAAACAGCACACAUGGUCAAUAUGCCAAAGUAAAUAAUAGAUUUGCCAAAUAAUAAAGAUUUAUUAAAGAGGAAAA